UGUUGUGGAUGUCCCUUGGAGGGACAGGUGCUGCAGGCCGAGUGCCGAUGCAGCUUCACCAGCGCCUGCCGGCCAACAGGGAGGAAGCAGAACACCCACCGUCCCUCUCUUGCCUGUGACCUGACCAGGGCGACCCCUGGAGAGACCUCGAGAAGGUCAGUCUGGAGACAGCUGCUUGUGACAGCUUCUCCCUCUGCUGCCGGAGUUCAGCGCCCACUUGACCAGCAGAGCAGGUGGAAUUGUGGCCUCCAAACGCACGGCCCCAGGACCUUAGCUCAGUCCUGUCUGGGACGAGGUGCGGUAAUAAACACACCUGCUGGCUCCUUGGGCCCCGUGGGAGGGGCUGUUGGACCUGACAGGUGCCGGGCCAGGGCUGCUGAGGCCCACGCCCCUCAUCCCCGCAGAGCCUGCAGCCCUCCUGCCCCGGCCCCCAGCCCCAGGUCUCCAGGUGUUCCCCUAACGAGUUCCUGCAUAUUUAAUUCUGCUCAGCCAAAGGACGGGCCAGACGGGGCCUUGAAAACGGAUGCUGCCUGGCAGCCAGGACGCAGGUGGAGCGAGUCCCUGUUAGAGCUCCUCCCUGCUGAGGGCAGCCUCGAAACAGCCACCACUCGGCCUCAGUGGCUGGUGUGUCCAGGAGGCAGGGACAGGAGUCGGGAGGCCUCUCUCCUCCUGGGCACCAGUUCCUGGCCCUGGUGGGGGCGGCAGAGGACCUGGUACCUGGACCUGCCACCCCUGCCUGGUUUGGCCCUUUGCUCCCCUGCCUUGCACUCACGGGGGAGAGGAGCCCCAGAGCCACCCGACCAGCGCCAGAGGGGUCAUUUUGGAGCCAGCUGUGCGACGCAGACUGGCAGGCCCAGCUCUGCRGGGGAGGAGCCGUGGGGCGCAGCCAGACUCCACCCUGGAGGCCAGCUCAGGCGCAGGGGGUACCCGCUUUUCUCCUUCCCAGUGGCCACAAGCCCAGGCCUCUCAGCCCUGCACCUCCCAGAACCCAGUGGCUGGGUUUCCACGCCCUGGCCAGCUGCCAGCCGGGCUGGCUCGGGGCACAAAGGCAGCUCUGUUGGGGAACCCGGGUGGAGGCCCAGCUGGCUCCAGAGGGGUCUGCCCCGACCAGCCUUGGCAGGAGAUCCUGGCAGCGUGGUGCCUCAGGAGCACCGAGGGCCAGGCCCUCAGAGCAGCAGAGUAGGAGGCCUGAGCUUGGCCCUCGCCUCCCUGGGAGCCCCGAGGUGGCAGCUCAGGAGGGACCCCCUGCCCGGCCCUACCGAGAGCUCCCCCAGGAGCACCUGGCUCUGA
This 1290-nucleotide long non-coding RNA is filed under the name Urocitellus parryii (Arctic ground squirrel). RNAcentral's name for it is "lncRNA (ENSUPAG00010003401.1)". The record is from RNAcentral. Lineage: Eukaryota; Metazoa; Chordata; Mammalia; Rodentia; Sciuridae.